UAGAGUUUGAUCCUGGCUCAGGAUGAACGCUGGCGGCGUGCUUAAUACAUGCAAGUCGAACGAAGCUCCUUAUCUUCGGACGAGGAGUCUUAGUGGCGAACGGGUGCGUAACGCGUUGGUAACCUGCCCCAAAGAGGGGGAUAACAGUUCGAAAGGACUGCUAAUACCCCAUACGGUCAUUAGGGUUAGAUACUUGAUGAUUAAAGGAGUAAUCCGCUUUGGGAGGGGCCUGCGUCCCAUCAGCUAGUUGGUAGGGUAAUGGCCUACCAAGGCAAUGACGGGUAGGGGACCUGAGAGGGUGGCCCCCCACACUGGCACUGAAAUACGGGCCAGACACCUACGGGUGGCAGCAGUAGGGAAUAUUGGACAAUGGGCGAAAGCCUGAUCCAGCAACGCCGCGUGCACGAUGACGGCCUUCGGGUUGUAAAGUGCUUUUAAGGGAGAUGAGAAAGGACAGUAUCCCUUGAAUAAGCCUCGGCGAACUACGUGCCAGCAGCCGCGGUAAAACGUAGGAGGCAAGCGUUAUCCGGAUUUAUUGGGCGUAAGCGCGUGCAGGCUGUUUGGAAAGUUGGAUGUGAAAGCUCCUGGCUUAACUGGGAGAGGUCGUUCAAAACUACCAAACUAGAGAAUGGGAGAGGGAAGUGGAAUUCCGGGUGUAGUGGUGAAAUGCGUAGAUAUCCGGAGGAACACCAGUGGCGAAAGCGGCUUCCUAGACCAUUUCUGACGCUUAGACGCGAAAGCUAGGGGAGCGAACGGGAUUAGAGACCCCGGUAGUCCUAGCUGUAAACGAUGUAGACUUGGCGUUGGCGAAGUUAAAUCUGCCAGUGCCGGAGCUAACGCGUUAAGUCUACCGCCUGGGGACUACGACCGCAAGGUUAAAACUCAAAGGAAUUGACGGGGACCCGCACAAGCAGCGGAGCGUGUGGUUUAUUCGAUGCUACACGAAGAACCUUACCAGGGUUUGACAUGCAAGUGGUAGGAAACUGAAAGGGGACCGACCCUUCGGGGAGCUUGCACAGGUGCUGCAUGGCUGUCGUCAGCUCGUGUCGUGAGAUGUUCGGUUAAGUCCGCUAACGAGCGCAACCCUCACUGUGUGUUAUAUGUGUCACACGGGACUGCCGGUUUUAAGCCGGAGGAAGGUGGGGAUGACGUCAAGUCAGCAUGGCCUUUAUAUCCUGGGCUACACACACGCUACAAUGGUCGGUACAAUAGGUUGCCAAGCCGCGAGGCGGAGCCAAUCCAUAAAAGCCGGCCUCAGUUCAGAUUGUAGGCUGCAACUCGCCUGCAUGAAGAUGGAGUUGCUAGUAACCGCAGGUCAGCAAUACUGCGGUGAAUACGUUCCCGGGUCUUGUACACACCGCCCGUCACGUCAUGGAAGCCGGCAACACCUGAAGCCGGUAUCCUAACCGCAAGGAAGGAGCCGUCGAAGGUGGGGUCGGUGACUGGGACGAAGUCGUAACAAGGUAGGUGUACCGGAAGGUGCGGCUGGAUCACCUCCUUA
Molecule: ribosomal RNA, 1501 nt
Filed under: uncultured bacterium
Lineage: Bacteria
Description: bacterial SSU rRNA
Rfam family: Bacterial small subunit ribosomal RNA
Source: RNAcentral